GAGUUUGAUCAUGGUUCAGGACGAACGCUGGCGGCGUGCCUAACACAUGCAAGUCGAGCGAUGAAACCCCUUCGGGGGUGGAUUAGCGGCGGACGGGUGAGUAACACGUGGGUAACCUGCCUCAAAGUGGGGGAUAGCCUUCCGAAAGGAAGAUUAAUACCGCAUAAAGCCAAGUUUCACAUGGAAUUUGGAUGAAAGGAGUAAUUCGCUUUGAGAUGGACCCGCGGCGCAUUAGUUAGUUGGUGGGGUAAUGGCCUACCAAGACAGCGAUGCGUAGCCGACCUGAGAGGGUGAUCGGCCACAUUGGAACUGAGAUACGGUCCAGACUCCUACGGGAGGCAGCAGUGGGGAAUAUUGCACAAUGGGCGAAAGCCUGAUGCAGCAACGCCGCGUGAGUGAUGAAGGUCUUCGGAUUGUAAAGCUCUGUCUUUUGGGACGAUAAUGACGGUACCAAAGGAGGAAGCCACGGCUAACUACGUGCCAGCAGCCGCGGUAAUACGUAGGUGGCGAGCGUUGUCCGGAUUUACUGGGCGUAAAGGGUGCGUAGGCGGAUGUUUAAGUGAGAUGUGAAAUACCCGGGCUUAACUUGGGUGCUGCAUUUCA
RNAcentral lists this ribosomal RNA (603 nucleotides) under uncultured Clostridium sp. Its description in RNAcentral is "bacterial SSU rRNA". It matches the Rfam family "Bacterial small subunit ribosomal RNA", at positions 9 to 630 of the family's 1533-position model. Lineage: Bacteria; Bacillati; Bacillota; Clostridia; Eubacteriales; Clostridiaceae. The record is from RNAcentral.